RNAcentral lists this transfer RNA (74 nucleotides) under Bifidobacteriaceae bacterium. RNAcentral describes it as "tRNA-Val". It matches the Rfam family "tRNA". From Rfam's summary of the family: Transfer RNA (tRNA) molecules are approximately 80 nucleotides in length. The record is from RNAcentral. Lineage: Bacteria; Bacillati; Actinomycetota; Actinomycetes; Bifidobacteriales; Bifidobacteriaceae.
GGGCCCGUAGCUCAGUUGGUUAGAGCACCACGUUUACACCGUGGGGGUCCCCAGUUCGAGUCUGGGCGGGCCCA